This 1494-nucleotide ribosomal RNA is filed under the name metagenome. RNAcentral describes it as "bacterial SSU rRNA". It matches the Rfam family "Bacterial small subunit ribosomal RNA". The record is from RNAcentral.
AGAGUUUGAUCCUGGCUCAGAACGAACGCUGGCGGCAGGUCUAACACAUGCAAGUCGAGCGAUUAAAGCCCCUUCGGGGGUGUAUAGAGCGGCGAACGGGUGAGUAACAGGUGGAUAAUCUGCCUUCCGGUGGGGGACAACCCCGCGAAAGUGGGGCUAAUACCGCAUGCGAUCAUCCCGCCUCGGCGGGAUGAAGAAAGGCGCUUUCGGGCGUCGCCGGAAGAUGGGUCCGCCCCCCAUUAGCUAGUUGGUGGGAUAAUAGCCCACCAAGGCCGUGAUGGGUAGCCGAGCUGAGAGGUUGAUCGGCCACACUGGAACUGAGAUACGGUCCAGACACCUACGGGUGGCAGCAGUGAAGAGUAUUGCGCAAUGGGCGAAAGCCUGACGCAGCCAUGCCGCGUGAGUGAUGAAGGCCUUCGGGUCGUAAAGCUCUUUUCUGAGGGAAGAAACGUCGGAGGAGGUAAUGCCUCCGGCUUGACGGUACCUCAGGAAUAAGGAACGGCUAACUCCGUGCCAGCAGCCGCGGUAAGACGGAGGUUCCUAGCGUUGUUCGGAAUUACUAGGCGUAAAGGGAGCGCAGGCGGAAGGGUCAGUGGAAAGUGGAAGCCCGGGGCUCAACCUCGGAAGUGCUUUCCAUACUGCUCUUCUUGAGUUCGCGAGAGGAAGGCGGAAUUCAGGGUGUAGCGGUGAAUGCUUAGAUAUCCUGAGGAACACCAAUGGCGAAAGCAGCUUUCUGGCGCGAAACUGACGCUGAGGCUCGAAAGCGUGGGGAGCGAACGGGAUUAGAUACCCCGGUAGUCCACGCCGUAAACGUUGUGCACUAGGUGCGGGAGGUAUCGACCCCUUCCGUGCCGGAGCUAACGCAUUAAGUGCACCGCCUGGGGAGUACGGUCGCAAGACUGAAACUCAAAGGAAUUGACGGGGGCCCGCACAAGCGGUGUAGCAUGUGGUUUAAUUCGAGGCAACGCGAAGAACCUUACCCAGGCUUGACAUCCCGAGACCGCCCGUGAAAGCGGGCUUUCCCUUCGGGGACUCGGUGACAGGUGUUGCAUGGCUGUCGUCAGCUCGUGUCGUGAGAUGUUGGGUUAAGUCCCGCAACGAGCGCAACCCUUGUCCUUAGUUACCAGCGGUUCGGCCGGGCACUCUAGGGAGACUGCCGGUGAUAAGCCGGAGGAAGGUGGGGACGACGUCAAGUCAUCAUGGCCCUUACGCCUGGGGCUACACACGUGCUACAAUGGCCGGUACAGUGAGUCGCAAUACCGCGAGGUGGAGCCAAUCUCAAAAAGCCGGUCUCAGUUCGGAUUGGAGUCUGCAAUUCGACUCCAUGAAGUCGGAAUCGCUAGUAAUCGCGUAUCAGCCACGACGCGGUGAAUACGUUCCCGGGCCUUGUACACACCGCCCGUCACAUGACCCGGGCCGGGUGCACCCGAAGUCGCUGGCCUAACCCGCAAGGGAAGGAGGCGCCGAAGGUGUGUUUGGUAAGGGGGAUGAAGC